This 1134-nucleotide long non-coding RNA is filed under the name Sus scrofa (pig). RNAcentral's name for it is "lncRNA (ENSSSCG00065033480.1)". The record is from RNAcentral. Lineage: Eukaryota; Metazoa; Chordata; Mammalia; Artiodactyla; Suidae.
CCUAAAUAUUUUUCUAAUUUAAAAAAUUCAUAUGUAAAGAGUAAUUCUCUGAAAUAUUAUGAAAUGAAUUUUUUAAGUGAAAAAGCAAAACUUCAUCCUAUAAUAUUAAGAAUAUACUUGUAGGCAAUUAUCUUGGCCUUAAGAGCUGGAUCAUGUCAUCAUCUCUAAAAAAUUACAAAUUUGUCCUUUUUAAAUUAAUCUUCUUUAAAAAAUUACAAAUUAAAGGACACUUGGCUAAGUUCUUAAACUAUCUAUAAAGGUUUGAUAACUGAUCAAGUCACAUAUCAUAAUGGCUCAAUGGAAUAUUUUUAUGAUUGAGCAGUGAUUAUGGAUGAAAUAAAUUUAGAGAAUAUUGUAUUUCAACUAUCUAGGAACAGCACGGUACCAUUUGGAAAUUUUUCCAUAUAAUUGCAAGUUUUGAAUUAGGGAAGGUUUGAGAAUUACUGACAACUUCAGAAGGGUAAGAAAAAUCACCUGAAAUGCAUCUAUUUCUGCCAGUGCUCUCAAAUUCUGAAGUUGAGCGUGUAAUGUGUUUCGGAAGAGAUCUUAAGAUUCUCAGAAGUAUAAUGAAUCCAGUGAUGACUCAACAACCAAGCCCUGAAUGUUGCUUGAUUGUUCAGAGCCAGCUGAGUGAUGCCGAGCCAGGGGUGUACAGGGCCCUGCCUCAGGAGCUGAAAAUCCAGCUAGGAGUUGAGGGAGAGACAACUGCAAGAAAGAAGGCUCAAGGUGCAGGGACAGAUUCAGGACCUUGCACUGGAAAUGCGAAGGAGGAAUGAAUUACAGCCACAUUGCAGCCUCGAAAGAAAGGGGGUCUUGAUGAUGAUUUGACCACAGGGAGUAAAAAAAGGAGGAGACUCAAAGUUGGCCUCGAGGGAAGGGUGAGAAGGGAGCUUCACAGAAUGGGAGCUGAGCGGGGCCAGGCGCCUUCCAGAAAGGCCUUGAAAAGUCUGGCUUCUGAGGACUUUCCAAAAUCAGUGCUUGGCUUUUCACAAAAAUGAACUCUGAUUUAGAAAUAAGCUUUCUGAUCAUGACCUUCCCUUUUUUAUCAUUCACAUCUAUAAUGUCACCCCAUAUUCAUCUUCUCAACUCCCCCAAACUAACAACUGUCAGGUAAUAUUGCUGGGUGACUUUUAU